RNAcentral lists this transfer RNA (65 nucleotides) under Parafagocyba longa. Its description in RNAcentral is "tRNA-Leu". Lineage: Eukaryota; Metazoa; Arthropoda; Insecta; Hemiptera; Cicadellidae. The record is from RNAcentral.
UCUAAUGUGGCAGAUAAAUGCAACAAGCUUAAGAUUUGUACAUAAAUAAUUUUAUUUUGUUAGAA